UGCGUAGGCGGUGUCCUAAGUCAGUUGUGAAAUACGGCAGCUUAACUGUCGAGGUGCAAUUGAUACUGGGAUACUUGAGUACUGAUGAGGUAUGCGGAAUGGACGGUGUAGCGGUGAAAUGCUUAGAUAUCGUCCAGAACACCGAUAGCGAAGGCAGCAUACUAAGGAGUAACUGACGCUGAGGCACGAAAGUGUGGGGAUCAAACAGGAUUAGAUACCCUGGUAGUCCACACUGUAAACGAUGAUCACUCGAUGUUGGCGAUACACAGCCAGCGUCUUAGCAAAAGCGAUAAGUGAUCCACCUGGGGAGUACGCCGGCAACGGUGAA
Molecule: ribosomal RNA, 328 nt
Filed under: uncultured Sphingobacteriales bacterium
Lineage: Bacteria; Pseudomonadati; Bacteroidota; Sphingobacteriia; Sphingobacteriales
Description: bacterial SSU rRNA
Rfam family: Bacterial small subunit ribosomal RNA
Source: RNAcentral